CUGAAAGAAACAAUUUGGAAGGGAAAGAAUGGUGAAGUCUACUAACAUCAGCAUUGCUCUUAUCAUUUUAUCAUUUCUUUUCAUCAUGGUGUUUGUAGCUGAAUCACGACCAACGCCAACAUUUGUGCAACCUAUAUGUAAAUCAAUUCAUGGGGUGGAAGAAAGUGAAACUUGUUCUAGCAUCAUUGCAAGGUUCACUCUUGAUCAGCGCCAGUUCCUGGCGAUUAAUCCCAACAUCAACUGCGUUGGUAUCUUUGUGGGCCAAUGGGUGUGUGUGGAUGGUAAAGUGUAAGCUCGGCCAAUAGUCCAGUCGAAUAAAUGUACAAUAAGGAGGACUUGAACCAACUUUUCUCCAUACAUAUAUUGUCCAAGAGCACUUAUGAAAUAUUUCAAUCAUCCAAUCUCAAUCUAAUGUAAUAUGCUUGAAUUUAUGAAACGGAUGAAGGGAACAUUCAUUCAUA
Lotus japonicus is the source of this 461-nucleotide long non-coding RNA. RefSeq lists it as uncharacterized. The record is from RefSeq and is a predicted model, not a curated record. The transcript has 2 exons. Lineage: Eukaryota; Viridiplantae; Streptophyta; Magnoliopsida; Fabales; Fabaceae.